GAUGAACGCUGGCGGCGUGCCUAAUACAUGCAAGUCGAGUGAACAGACGAGGAGCUUGCUCCUCUGACGUUAGCGGCGGACGGGUGAGUAACACGUGGAUAACCUACCUAUAAGACUGGGAUAACUUUGGGAAACCGGAGCUAAUACCGGAUAAUAUAUUGAACCGCAUAGUUCAAUAGUGAAAGACGGUUUUGCUGUCACUUAUAGAUGGAUCCGCGCCGCAUUAGCUAGUUGGUAAGGUAACGGCUUACCAAGGCGACGAUGCGUAGCCGACCUGAGAGGGUGAUCGGCCACACUGGAACUGAGACACGGUCCAGACUCCUACGGGAGGCAGCAGUAGGGAAUCUUCCGCAAUGGGCGAAAGCCUGACGGAGCAACGCCGCGUGAGUGAUGAAGGUCUUCGGAUCGUAAAACUCUGUUAUUAGGGAAGAACAAAUGUGUAAGUAACUAUGCACGUCUUGACGGUACCUAAUCAGAAAGCCACGGCUAACUACGUG
Molecule: ribosomal RNA, 497 nt
Filed under: uncultured bacterium
Lineage: Bacteria
Description: partial 16S ribosomal RNA
Rfam family: Bacterial small subunit ribosomal RNA
Source: RNAcentral